AGGAUAAACGCUGGCGGCGUGCUUAACACAUGCAAGUCGAGCGGUAAGGCCCUUUCGGGGGUACACGAGCGGCGAACGGGUGAGUAACACGUGGGUGACCUGCCCUUAGCUCUGGGAUAAGCCUGGGAAACUGGGUCUAAUACCGGAUAUGACCUCAUGACGCAUGUUGUGGGGUGGAAAGCCUUGUGCGGCUAGGGAUGGGCCCGCGGCCUAUCAGCUUGUUGGUGGGGUGAUGGCCUACCAAGGCGACGACGGGUA
Molecule: ribosomal RNA, 258 nt
Filed under: uncultured bacterium
Lineage: Bacteria
Description: partial small subunit ribosomal RNA
Rfam family: Bacterial small subunit ribosomal RNA
Source: RNAcentral